GACGAACGCUGGCGGCGUGCCUAAUACAUGCAAGUCGAGCGAGCUUGCCUAGAUGAAUUUGGUGCUUGCACCAGAUGAAACUAGAUACAAGCGAGCGGCGGACGGGUGAGUAACACGUGGGUAACCUGCCCAAGAGACUGGGAUAACACCUGGAAACAGAUGCUAAUACCGGAUAACAACACUAGACGCAUGUCUAGAGUUUAAAAGAUGGUUCUGCUAUCACUCUUGGAUGGACCUGCAGUGCAUUAGCUAGUUGGUAAGGCAACGGCUUACCAAGGCAAUGAUGCAUAGCCGAGUUGAGAGACUGAUCGGCCACAUUGGGACUGAGACACGGCCCAAACUCCUACGGGAGGCAGCAGUAGGGAAUCUUCCACAAUGGACGCAAGUCUGAUGGAGCAACGCCGCGUGAGUGAAGAAGGGUUUCGGCUCGUAAAGCUCUGUUGGUAGUGAAGAAAGAUAGAGGUAGUAACUGGCCUUUAUUUGACGGUAAUUACUUAGAAAGUCACGGCUAACUACGUG
Molecule: ribosomal RNA, 519 nt
Filed under: uncultured bacterium
Lineage: Bacteria
Description: partial 16S ribosomal RNA
Rfam family: Bacterial small subunit ribosomal RNA
Source: RNAcentral